This 491-nucleotide ribosomal RNA is filed under the name uncultured bacterium. Its description in RNAcentral is "partial 16S ribosomal RNA". It matches the Rfam family "Bacterial small subunit ribosomal RNA", at positions 29 to 507 of the family's 1533-position model. The record is from RNAcentral.
AGUGAACGCUGGCGGUAGGCCUAACACAUGCAAGUCGAACGGCAGCACAGUAAGAGCUUGCUCUUACGGGUGGCGAGUGGCGGACGGGUGAGGAAUACAUCGGAAUCUACUUUUUCGUGGGGGAUAACGUAGGGAAACUUCCGCUAAUACCGCAUACGACCUACGGGUGAAAGCAGGGGAUAUUCGGACCUUGCGCGAUUGAAUGAGCCGAUGUCGGACUAGCUAGUUGGCGGGGUAAAGGACCACCAAGGCGACGAUCCGUAGCUGGUCUGAGAGGAUGAUCAGCCACACUGGACCUGGGACACGGUCCAAACUCCUACGGGAGACAGCAGUGGGGAAUAUUGGACAAGGGGCGCAAGCCUGAUCCGGCCAGACCGCGGGGGUGAAAAAGGCCUUCGGGUUGUAAGCCCUUUUGUUAGGAAAGAAAAGCAGCAGGUUAAUACCCCGCUGUUCUGACGGUACCCAAAGAAUAAGCACCGGCUAACUUCGUG